GGGGAAUAUUGCGCAAUGGGGGAAACCCUGACGCAGCAAUACCGCGUGAAUGAAGAAGGUCUUCGGAUCGUAAAGUUCUGUUAUUGGGGAAGAAAAAGACGGUACCCAAGGAGAAAGUUCCGGCUAACUACGUGCCAGCAGCCGCGGUAAUACGUAGGGAACAAGCGUUGUCCGGAUUUACUGGGCGUAAAGGGCACGCAGGCGGUUUUUUAAGUCAGAUGUGAAAGGUACCGGCUCAACCGGUGACAUGCAUUUGAAACUGAAAGACUUGAGUAUUGGAGAGGCAAGUGGAAUUCCUAGUGUAGCGGUGAAAUGCGUAGAGAUUAGGAGGAACACCAGUGGCGAAGGCGGCUUGCUGGACAAAUACUGACGCUGAGGUGCGAAAGCGUGGGGAGCAAAC
This 400-nucleotide ribosomal RNA is filed under the name uncultured bacterium. RNAcentral's name for it is "bacterial SSU rRNA". It matches the Rfam family "Bacterial small subunit ribosomal RNA", at positions 356 to 773 of the family's 1533-position model. The record is from RNAcentral.